UGAGGAAUAUUGCGCAAUGGGGGCAACCCUGACGCAGCGACGCCGCGUGGAUGAUGAAGGCCCUUGGGUCGUAAAAUCCUGUCAGAUGGAAAGAAAUGUAUAGCAGCUAAUAUCUGUUAUAUUUGACGGUACCAUCAAAGGAAGCACCGGCUAACUCCGUGCCAGCAGCCGCGGUAAUACGGAGGGUGCAAGCGUUGUUCGGAAUUACUGGGCGUAAAGCGCGCGUAGGCGGUGUGCUAAGUCAGAUGUGAAAGCCCUCGGCUUAACCGGGGACGUGCAUUUGAAACUGGCAGACUUGAGUACUGGAGGGGGUGGUGGAAUUCCCGGUGUAGAGGUGAAAUUCGUAGAUAUCGGGAGGAAUACCGGUGGCGAAGGCGACCACCUGGCCAGAUACUGACGCUGAGGUGCGAAAGCGUGGGGAGCAAACAGG
Molecule: ribosomal RNA, 430 nt
Filed under: uncultured bacterium
Lineage: Bacteria
Description: bacterial SSU rRNA
Rfam family: Bacterial small subunit ribosomal RNA
Source: RNAcentral